UGCUGCCCGUGUCUACUAUACCGAGGCCUCUAAUUACUACAACACCGAAGCGCUCAAGUACUACCACCUGCAUCUGUCCCCAACUGCAUUCCUCAUUGUGUAACCGGUUCGCAAUUAUGGUAAACUGUGGCGUCCUGCUGCUGUUGUGUGUUGUGUGUUGAUGGCUGGGUCGACCACUGGUGUACCGACGAUGGAGAAUACCAGUAGUUCCCGCAACGUCGCCGCCUUACUACACAACAACAACUUACGCAACGACCAGUCCUUGCACCGAGGUCUUCAAGUACUACACAACUAAAGCACCGGAGUUUUAUACCACAACUACGCUACCCCGAGCCACUACACUGAUGCCCUGAAGUAUUAAUCUGCCCCGAGUUACUACACCACCAAGGCGACGGAGUACUACAUGACAACGCAUGCUGCCCCAUCCUACUACACCGAGGCUCCCAACUGCUUCACCGAGCCUCCCGCUUAUUACUCCACCAAAACGGUCGAGUACUACACAGAAGUGGCAAAGUACUUCUCUGCCCCGAUCUACUCAACCAGAGCUGAGGCGGCCAAGUAUUACGCAUCCCGACUUGCCACACAAAAGCUGCUCUUUCGUGCUACGUUGAACUGAAACACUACCCUGAUGCUCCAGUCUACUACACCACGGUCUUCCCUACACCUAGCUACAACACCGCAGCCCUUAAGUACUACACCGAAAACGCCGCCUAUUACACAACCACGUACGCUGCCUGGUAUACUACAUCGAGGAAAGUAUUAUCCAUUAAGUAUACUCCAAACUACUACCAUCUGAAGUUCAUACGUAUUACACCAGCAAUUCUCCUGACUAUGUCACCACUACUUAUGUUGCUCCGACCUAUACAUUGAAAUUCUGAAGUAUUUCACUGGAUGUGUUGAAAGAUUGCUGAAAUACAAGAUUGAUCGAUAAA
Daphnia pulicaria is the source of this 932-nucleotide long non-coding RNA. RefSeq lists it as uncharacterized. NCBI's taxonomy places the organism in Eukaryota, Metazoa, Arthropoda, Branchiopoda, Diplostraca, Daphniidae. The record is from RefSeq and is a predicted model, not a curated record. The transcript has 3 exons.